CCUGGUCAUCCCUACUGCCUCUGAUCUGGAGGACUCACUAAACAGAGAACAUCCCUGGUUAUCCCUACUGCCUCUGAUCUGGUGGACUCACUAAACAGAGAACAUCCCUGGUCAUCCCUACUGCCUCUGAUCUGGAGGACUCACUAAACAGAGAACAUCCCUGGUUAUCCCUACUGCCUCUGAUCUGGUGGACUCACUAAACAGAGAACAUCCCUGGUCCUCCCUACUGCCUCUGAUCUGGAGGACUCACUAAACAGAGAACAUCCCUGGUCAUCCCUACUGCCUCUGAUCUGGAGGACUCACUAAACAGAGAACAUCCCUGGUCGUCCCUACUGCCUCUGAUCUGGAGGACUCACUAAACAGAGAACAUCCCUGGUCAUCCCUACUGCCUCUGAUCUGGUGGACUCACUAAACAGAGAACAUCCCUGGUCAUCCCUACUGCCUCUGAUCUGGAAGACUCACUAAACAGAGAACAUCCCUGGUCAUCCCUACUGCCUCUGAUCUGGUGGACUCACUAAACAGAGAACAUCCCUGGUCAUCCCUACUGCCUCUGAUCUGGAGGACUCACUAAACAGAGAACAUCCUUGGUCAUCCCUACUGCCUCUGAUCUGGAGGACUCACUAAACAGAGAACAUCCCUGGUUAUCCCUACUGCCUCUGAUCUGGUGGACUCACUAAACAGAGAACAUCCCUGGUCAUCCCUACUGCCUCUGAUCUGGAGGACUCACUAAACAGAGAACAUCCCUGGUCAUCCCUACUGCCUCUGAUCUGGAGGACUCACUAAACAGAGAACAUCCCUGGUCGUCCCUACUGCCUCUGAUCUGGAGGACUCACUAAACAGAGAACAUCCCUGGUUAUCCCUACUGCCUCUGAUCUGGUGGACUCACUAAACAGAGAACAUCCCUGGUCAUCCCUACUGCCUCUGAUCUGGAAGACUCACUAAACAGAGAACAUCCCUGGUCAUCCCUACAGCCUCUGAUCUGGAGGACUCACUAAAUAGAGAACAUCCCUGGUUAUCCCUACUGCCUCUGAUCUGGUGGACUCACUAAACAGAGAACAUCCCUGGUCAUCCCUACUGCCUCUGAUCUGGAGGACUCACUAAACAGAGAACAUCCUUGGUCAUCCCUACUGCCUCUGAUCUGGAGGACUCACUAAACAGAGAACAUCCCUGGUUAUCCCUACUGCCUCUGAUCUGGUGGACUCACUAAACAGAGUACAUCCCUGGUCAUCCCUACUGCCUCUGAUCUGGAGGACUCACUAAACAGAGAACAUCCUUGGUCCUCCCUACUGCCUCUGAUCUGGAGUGUACCCCUGGCUAUCCAUAAAUAAAAUAAAAACAAGAAAAUGGUGCUUUUCUGCUUAAUAGAAGGAAUUUGAAAAAAACAUAUAUUUUUUUUAACUUUUGAUACUUAAGGAUAUUUUUAUAAAUGUACUUUUGAUACUUCAGUAUAUUUAAAACCAAAAUACCUUUAGACUUUUACUCAAGUAGUAUUUUACUAGGUGACUCACUUUUACUUGAGUCAUUUUCUAUGUAUCUUUUGUAUCUUUAGUACUUUUUCCACCAUUGAGUUUGUUUUUAUUAUAUUUGAGUACGCGAGUUAGUUUUAAAAAAAGGGUCUAUGCAGGUAGUUUGGGUAUUUAGCAGGCAGUCUUAUGCCUUGGAUGUCACAUCCUGACCAGUAAUAGGGGAUAUUUGUUAUUGUAGUUUGGUCAGGACGUGGCAGAGGGUAUUUGUUAUUGUAGUUUGGUCAGGACGUGGCAGAGGGGUAUUUGUUAUUGUAGUUUGGUCAGGACGUGGCAGAGGGGUAUUUGUUAUUGUAGUUUGGUCAGGACGUGGCAGAGGGUAUUUUGUUAUUGUAGUUUGGUCAGGACGUGGCAGAGGGGAUUUGUUAUUGUAGUUUGGUCAGGACGUGGCAGAGGGGUAUUUGUUAUUGUAGUUUGGUCAGGACGUGGCAGAGGGGUAUUUGUUAUUGUAGUUUGGUCAGGACGUGGCAGAGGGGUUAUUUGUUAUUGUAGUUUGGUCAGGACGUGGCAGAGGGGUAUUUGUUAUUGUAGUUUGGUCAGGACGUGGCAGAGGGGUAUUUGUUAUUGUAGUUUGGUCAGGACGUGGCAGAGGGGUAUUUGUUAUUGUAGUUUGGUCAGGACGUGGCAGAGGGGUAUUUGUUAUUGUAGUUUGGUCAGGACGUGGCAGAGGGGUAUUUGUUUUAUGUGGUUUGGUCAGGACGUGGCAGAGGGGUAUUUGUUAUUGUAGUUUGGUCAGGACGUGGCAGAGGGUUAUUUGUUAUUGUAGUUUGGUCAGGACGUGGCAGAGGGGUUAUUUGUUAUUGUAGUUUGGUCAGGACGUGGCAGAGGGGUAUUUGUUAUUGUAGUUUGGUCAGGACGUGGCAGAGGGGUAUUUGUUAUUGUAGUUUGGUCAGGACGUGGCAGAGGGGUAUUUGUUAUUGUAGUUUGGUCAGGACGUGGCAGAGGGGUUAUUUGUUAUUGUAGUUUGGUCAGGACGUGGCAGAGGGUAUUUGUUAUUGUAGUUUGGUCAGGACGUGGCAGAGGGGUUAUUUGUUAUUGUAGUUUGGUCAGGACGUGGCAGAGGGUGUUUGUAUUGUAGUUUGGUCAGGACGUGGCAGAGGGUAUUUGUUUUAUGUGGUUCGGGGUGGUGGUUUGUUUAGAAGGGUGUUUGAUUUAUUAUUUCCGGGUUUUGGGUAAUGUUCUAUGUUCUCUCUAGUUUAGUAUUUCUAUGUCUAGGUAAUUGGGUGUUGGACUCUCAAUUGGAGGCAGGUGUUUUUAGUUGUCUCUGAUUGAGAGUCCUAUAUAUAGGUAUGUGUUGGUAUUAGUGUUUGGUGGGAGAUUGUUUCUGUGUGUAGCUCCAAGCCUUACAGGACUGUUAUUCGUCGUUGUUUCUUUGUUGUUGUGUACGUGUUUAUUUUUGGUUUCACCUUCUUCUUCGCCAACUAAUUAAAAAAAGAAGAUGAGUGCACAUUUCCCCGCUGCGUCUUGGUCCGCUUUAUCCGACGACAACCGUUACAUUACAUACGGUCCUGUUGGUUCCGGACUCGGUGUAAUGGUUCCUCCUGCCGUUCAGUAGCAGAGAGAACAAUCUAUGACUUGGGGUGGCUGGAGUCUUUGACAAUUUUUUUGGGGGGGGCUUCCUCUGACACCGCCUGGUAUCGAGGUCCUGGAUGGCAGGGAGUUCGGCCCCAUGUGAUGUCCUGGGCCGUACUCACCAACUGCCUUGCGGUGAAGCAGCCAGUGAAGAUGCCCUCAAUGCUGUAUAACUUUUUGAGGAUCUGAGGGCCAAUGCCAAGUCUUUUCGGCCUCCGCUUGUCGUGCCCUCUUCACAAUUGUGUGGACCAUUUGAAUGACUUAGUGAUGACACCGAGGAAAGCCCGUUCCACUACAGCCCCUUUGAUGUGGAUGAAGGUGUGCUCGCACCUCUGUUUCCUAUAGUCCACGAUCAUCUCCUUUGUCUUGCUGACGUUGAGGGAGAGGUUGUUGUCCUGGCACAACACUGCCAGGUCUCUGACCUCCUCCGUGUUCACUGCCGC
RNAcentral lists this long non-coding RNA (3538 nucleotides) under Salmo salar (Atlantic salmon). RNAcentral's name for it is "lncRNA (ENSSSAG00000121903.1)". The record is from RNAcentral. Lineage: Eukaryota; Metazoa; Chordata; Actinopteri; Salmoniformes; Salmonidae.